This 468-nucleotide ribosomal RNA is filed under the name uncultured bacterium. Its description in RNAcentral is "partial 16S ribosomal RNA". It matches the Rfam family "Bacterial small subunit ribosomal RNA", at positions 28 to 507 of the family's 1533-position model. The record is from RNAcentral.
GACGAACGCUGGCGGCGUGCUUAACACAUGCAAGUCGAACGGAAAGGCCCUGCUUUUGUGGGGUGCUCGAGUGGCGAACGGGUGAGUAACACGUGAGUAACCUGCCCUUGACUUUGGGAUAACUUCAGGAAACUGGGGCUAAUACCGGAUAGGAGCUCCUGCUGCAUGGUGGGGGUUGGAAAGUUUCGGCGGUUGGGGAUGGACUCGCGGCUUAUCAGCUUGUUGGUGGGGUAGUGGCUUACCAAGGCUUUGACGGGUAGCCGGCCUGAGAGGGUGACCGGCCACAAUGGGACUGAGAGACGGCCCAGACGGCUACGGGAGGCAGCAGUGGGGAAUAUUGCACAAUGGGCGGAAGCCUGAUGCAGCAACGCCGCGGGCGGGAUGACGGCCUUCGGGUUGUAAACAGCUGUCGCCUGUGACGAAGCGUGAGUGACGGUAAUGGGUAAAGAAGCACCGGCUAACUACGUG